GAUGAACGCUAGCUACAGGCUUAACACAUGCAAGUCGAGGGGAAACGAUAGAGAAAGCUUGCUUUUUCUAGGCGUCGACCGGCGCACGGGUGAGUAACGCGUAUCCAACCUGCCCAUCACUUGGGGAUAACCUUGCGAAAGUAAGACUAAUACCCAAUGAUAUCUCUAGAAGACAUCUGAAAGAGAUUAAAGAUUUAUCGGUGAUGGAUGGGGAUGCGUCUGAUUAGCUUGUUGGCGGGGUAACGGCCCACCAAGGCGACGAUCAGUAGGGGUUCUGAGAGGAAGGUCCCCCACAUUGGAACUGAGACACGGUCCAAACUCCUACGGGAGGCAGCAGUGAGGAAUAUUGGUCAAUGGACGAGAGUCUGAACCAGCCAAGUAGCGUGCAGGAUGACGGCCCUAUGGGUUGUAAACUGCUUUUAUAAGGGAAUAAAGUGAGUCUCGUGAGGCUUUUUGCAUGUACCUUAUGAAUAAGGACCGGCUAAUUCCGUGCCAGCAGCCG
RNAcentral lists this ribosomal RNA (502 nucleotides) under uncultured bacterium. RNAcentral describes it as "bacterial SSU rRNA". It matches the Rfam family "Bacterial small subunit ribosomal RNA", at positions 28 to 517 of the family's 1533-position model. The record is from RNAcentral.